ACUCCUGCGGGAGGCAGCAGUGGGGAAUAUUGGACAAUGGGCGCAAGCCUGAUCCAGCCAUGCCGCGUGAGUGAUGAAGGCCCUAGGGUUGUAAAGCUCUUUCACCGGUGAAGAUAAUGACGGUAACCGGAGAAGAAGCCCCGGCUAACUUCGUGCCAGCAGCCGCGGUAAUACGAAGGGGGCUAGCGUUGUUCGGAUUUACUGGGCGUAAAGCGCACGUAGGCGGACUAUUAAGUCAGGGGUGAAAUCCCGGGGCUCAACCCCGGAACUGCCUUUGAUACUGGUAGUCUUGAGUUCGAGAGAGGUGAGUGGAAUUCCGAGUGUAGAGGUGAAAUUCGUAGAUAUUCGGAGGAACACCAGUGGCGAAGGCGGCUCACUGGCUCGAUACUGACGCUGAGGUGCGAAAGCGUGGGGAGCAAACAGGAUUAGAUACCCUAGUAGUCCUAUGAU
RNAcentral lists this ribosomal RNA (450 nucleotides) under uncultured organism. Its description in RNAcentral is "partial 16S ribosomal RNA". It matches the Rfam family "Bacterial small subunit ribosomal RNA", at positions 335 to 801 of the family's 1533-position model. The record is from RNAcentral.